CUUAAAUAACGGGCUAAUUUUGUAGCAGACCUUUUGUUUGAUAUUAUUUAGCCUUGAUUUGGGGCAUGUUUUUGCUGAUGGCCUCUGAUGUAUUCUAGCCUCAGAAAGUUCUCGUUUAAACACAGAGGAAUGUCUCUCUGUCCGUCUGCAGGAGGAGUGUCGUCUGCAGCUGGAGGCUCAGCGCAUCAGUCUGUCUCAGAUCCACGCCGCUCACCUGGAGCUGCUCCGAGAGAGUCUGUGUGCGCAGACGCAGGAGGAGAGGAGGAGAGAGAACGGUCAUCCCGCAGGUCACAUCAAACGCUCUUUCAGAUCCAUUAUUAAGAGAUCCAUCAGCAUGAAAGAGAGAGGCACUGUCAAACGGCUCACUUACUCUGUGCUCAUACCCAGAGAUUAUUUAUGUCAUGGCUGCUAACCGAUGUGAUAGUUAGGAUUGAAUGCAGUCCCAAAAUGAUUGAUUGAAUUGAAAAAACGAAUGAUUGAAUUCCCGAACGUUUUUGUCAGCCGAACACCUUUGAACUAAAAAAAUAAGCGUUAAGUAAUUUAACAGCACGUUCACAUGUUGCAGUGUGAAGCCUGUAAACAGUGGCAGGAUUUCCUCACGUGUUUCUCCUGUUCCUGCAGAGCUCAUGGCAGAGUCUGAGGAGUGCUCUGCGCGUCUGGAGAUCGAGCGGCUGAAGAGCGACUAUCAGCAGCAGAUGGAGGAGACGCAGGAACGCUUCAAGGCCGAGGUCCUCCUGCUGCAGAGGAGACUCCAGGAGCUCACAGGAGCCGGCGAGAUCUUCAGCAUGCCGAGCGUCUAUCCGCCGCUGACGAGAGACGAGCGCCGUGAACAUCUUCAGGAGGAGGAUGAGGAGGAAAGACUGAGAGACGCGUGUCCUCCGGAGGAGCCCCAUCUCAGACGCCUGGAGGAGGAGAUCGCCAAGGUGAUCGUGCAGAUGUCGGUUGAGUUCGCCCAGCAGACCGAAGAGGCCCGGAUCAGCAAACAGGCCCGCGAGACAAGCACCGGCACACAGACGGACGACAGCGAGGAUGAGGAGGAACGACUGAACUCUGUGAGCCUGAUGAAGUCUCCUGAAGAAGAGCAGACCUUCAUCACUGAACACACAACACAAGAGGAGGAGGAUGAGGAGGAUGAAGAGCACUUGCGCUCUGAGCUGGUCCCGCAGGAGGAGGCUCUCAGAUCGUCACACACACUUCAGCUGGAGGCGUAUCAGGGGCAGAACACACUCCUGACGGCUCAGAUACACACACUCACCCAGCAGCUCCUGCAGACGGAGCUGGAGCUGCAGCAGAUGAAGGAGAGACGAGACGAGACAGAGAGACGGAGAGAUGAACACCUGCUUCCCAGCAUGCAAAGCUGCAGCACACAGACAGAGCAGGUAGUGUAAACAGUACAGUUUCACUCCUCCCUUC
This 1413-nucleotide long non-coding RNA is filed under the name Sinocyclocheilus anshuiensis. RNAcentral's name for it is "lncRNA (ENSSANG00000041982.1)". Lineage: Eukaryota; Metazoa; Chordata; Actinopteri; Cypriniformes; Cyprinidae. The record is from RNAcentral.